UACGUAGGGUGCGAGCGUUAAUCGGAAUUACUGGGCGUAAAGCGUGCGCAGGCGGUUGUGCAAGACAGAUGUGAAAUCCCCGGGCUUAACCUGGGAAUUGCAUUUGUGACUGCACGGCUAGAGUGUGUCAGAGGGGGGUAGAAUUCCACGUGUAGCAGUGAAAUGCGUAGAGAUGUGGAGGAAUACCGAUGGCGAAGGCAGCCCCCUGGGCCAACACUGACGCUCAUGCACGAAAGCGUGGGGAGCAAACAGG
This 253-nucleotide ribosomal RNA is filed under the name uncultured bacterium. Its description in RNAcentral is "partial 16S ribosomal RNA". It matches the Rfam family "Bacterial small subunit ribosomal RNA", at positions 524 to 776 of the family's 1533-position model. The record is from RNAcentral.